CGAAAGGGUGCUAAUACCGGGUGUCGUCUUCGAAGUUUCGGCUUUGAAGAUGAAAGAUGGCUGAGGCUUGCAAGCUAUUGCUCCAAGAUGAGCCCGCGUACCAUUAGCUAGUUGGUGGGGUAAUGGCCCACCAAGGCAAUGAUGGUUAGCUGGUCUGAGAGGAUGGCCAGCCACACUGGAACUGAGAUACGGUCCAGACUCCUACGGGAGGCAGCAGUGAGGAAUCUUGCGCAAUGGGGGCAACCCUGACGCAGCAACGCCGCGUGAGUGAUGAAGGCCUUCGGGUCGUAAAGCUCUGUCAGGCGGAAAGAAAGUUUUCAGGGUGAACAAUCCUGGAGAUUGACGGUACCGCCAGAGGAAGCACCGGCUAACUCCGUGCCAGCAGCCGCGGUAA
This 394-nucleotide ribosomal RNA is filed under the name uncultured delta proteobacterium. RNAcentral's name for it is "bacterial SSU rRNA". It matches the Rfam family "Bacterial small subunit ribosomal RNA", at positions 152 to 523 of the family's 1533-position model. Lineage: Bacteria; Deltaproteobacteria. The record is from RNAcentral.